Bos grunniens (domestic yak) is the source of this 84-nucleotide microRNA precursor. Lineage: Eukaryota; Metazoa; Chordata; Mammalia; Artiodactyla; Bovidae. The record is from Ensembl.
AGAGUGGGGGUCUGCAGGGUGGUAGGCUGUGGGCUAUGUGGUGAGGCCCCCCGCCUGCCCACCUGUCCAGGCAUGGCCAUCUUC